GCAAGUGCCGUUGACAGAAUGCAGGCGGGAAGCUUCAGUUUGGGUAGAGAUGUAGCAUCAAACAUUCACGGAUGUCCAGGGAGCACGGGCACACAGGCUGCUGGCCAGAGGUACUAGGAAGGUACAGGCGGGAGUUCGACGAGGACGCACCUUCCCCUGUCUUGGAAAGGUAGACUUGGGGAGGGCGGGAGCGGGAGGCUGCUCACAGCGCUGCUGGACUCUUUAAGCCCUGAGGUCAUGUGAAAAGAAGUUUGCCCUGUGUCCUUCUGUCUCCUGUUGGCUGUCCACAAAAUGGAGAAGGCGGAAGCAACCUGAGGCGUCCUCUUUGUCUGUAAAGAUAGAGAGUCCAUUGUGGAAGGGGGAGAUACAGGAACUAUAUAGGCGAGGCUCUACCGGACUGCAUCUCUUAUCUCCAGAAUUCUUUUACAGAAAAGAAAAAAAUAAACUUUUAUCUGGCUUAAGCCACUACUGUUUCUGGGCUCUGUUACUAGCUGCCAAAUGCAAAUCUUAACUGAUAGAAAAGUCCUUGACGGAGUUUGAGCUGGUGAAUGGAUGCUGCCUGUUCAGUGGCUCUGCAGUGGUGGAUCUGUGGGAGUGGAGCAUCCUG
RNAcentral lists this long non-coding RNA (607 nucleotides) under Mus musculus (house mouse). Its description in RNAcentral is "lncRNA downstream of Cdkn1b, transcript variant 1 (Lockd)". The record is from RNAcentral. Lineage: Eukaryota; Metazoa; Chordata; Mammalia; Rodentia; Muridae.